UAGGGAAUCUUCCACAAUGGACGCAAGUCUGAUGGAGCAACGCCGCGUGAGUGAAGAAGGUUUUCGGAUCGUAAAGCUCUGUUGUUGGUGAAGAAGGAUAGAGGCAGUAACUGGUCUUUAUUUGACGGUAAUCAACCAGAAAGUCACGGCUAACUACGUGCCAGCAGCCGGAGUAAUACGUAGGUGGCAAGCGUUGUCCGGAUUUAUUGGGCGUAAAGCGAGCGCAGGCGGAAUGAUAAGUCUGAUGUGAAAGCCCACGGCUCAACCGGGGAACUGCAUCGGAAACUGUCAUUCUUGAGUGCAGAAGAGGAGAGUGGAAUUCCAUGUGUAGCGGUGGAAUGCGUAGAUAUAUGGAAGAACACCAGUGGCGAAGGCGGCUCUCUGGUCUGCAACUGACGCUGAGGCUCGAAAGCAUGGGUAGCGAACAGG
RNAcentral lists this ribosomal RNA (429 nucleotides) under bacterium. RNAcentral describes it as "partial 16S ribosomal RNA". It matches the Rfam family "Bacterial small subunit ribosomal RNA", at positions 355 to 776 of the family's 1533-position model. The record is from RNAcentral.